Molecule: ribosomal RNA, 329 nt
Filed under: Vibrio parahaemolyticus
Lineage: Bacteria; Pseudomonadati; Pseudomonadota; Gammaproteobacteria; Vibrionales; Vibrionaceae
Description: bacterial SSU rRNA
Rfam family: Bacterial small subunit ribosomal RNA
Source: RNAcentral
AAAUUGAAGAGUUUGAUCAUGGCUCAGAUUGAACGCUGGCGGCAGGCCUAACACAUGCAAGUCGAGCGGAAACGAGUUAUCUGAACCUUCGGGGGACGAUAACGGCGUCGAGCGGCGGACGGGUGAGUAAUGCCUAGGAAAUUGCCCUGAUGUGGGGGAUAACCAUUGGAAACGAUGGCUAAUACCGCAUGAUGCCUACGGGCCAAAGAGGGGGACCUUCGGGCCUCUCGCGUCAGGAUAUGCCUAGGUGGGAUUAGCUAGUUGGUGAGGUAAGGGCUCACCAAGGCGACGAUCCCUAGCUGGUCUGAGAGGAUGAUCAGCCACACUGG